UACGUAGGGGGCUAGCGUUGUUCGGAAUUACUGGGCGUAAAGCGCGCGCAGGCGGUUCUUUAAGUCAGUGGUGAAAGCCCGGAGCUCAACUCCGGAACUGCCAUUGAAACUGUGGAACUUGAGUCCGGGAGAGGUGAGUGGAACUGCGAGUGUAGAGGUGAAAUUCGUAGAUAUUCGCAAGAACACCAGUGGCGAAGGCGGCUCACUGGCCCGGUACUGACGCUGAGGCACGAAAGCGUGGGGAGCAAACAGG
Molecule: ribosomal RNA, 253 nt
Filed under: uncultured bacterium
Lineage: Bacteria
Description: partial 16S ribosomal RNA
Rfam family: Bacterial small subunit ribosomal RNA
Source: RNAcentral